RNAcentral lists this long non-coding RNA (1106 nucleotides) under Cricetulus griseus (Chinese hamster). Its description in RNAcentral is "lncRNA (ENSCGRG00015037241.1)". The record is from RNAcentral. Lineage: Eukaryota; Metazoa; Chordata; Mammalia; Rodentia; Cricetidae.
CCCAGCUGCUGCAACUCGCACCCGGCUCGGGCGGCAGCGGGAUCCGGACUGGAGCGGCCGGACUGGGCGAGCGGAGCCGCGGGGGCUCGGGGUGGGGGGUGCGAGAGGGGAGCCGGGGAGCCGAGCGGACCGCCGGGACUGGAGAGGCGGGGGCGGAGGCGGGGGAGCGAGCCCAGCAGGCAGGAGAAGGAGCUGGCAGCGGGGAAACCAGGACUGGAUUCAAGGGGGAGAGGAGGCGAGAACAGAGGAGGAGAAAGCCUGGCUGGCUGGAUCAGCAGGAAGGAAAGGAGUGAGAACUGAGACGCUGGAGUAGAGCUGAGAGCGCAGCGGGACUGGCAGGACUUUGCAUGACGUGCUGGGUUCCUCACCAACACCCCUUAGAUGUGGUAGCCCACAUCUGAAGCAGAAGAUCAGGAGUUCAAGGUCAUCUUCAACUACAUAACAGGUUUGAGGCCAUCUUGGGCAAACAAAAACGCUUAAGCAGGAGUUGAAAUAACAGGAAACUGUGUUUAACAAGGAAGGGAAAGGGUCUUUAGAGAUAUGGGAGCUCCGCAGGCCAACUCCUCAGGAUGCUGAAACAGGAGCAUCCCAAGUUCAAGGACAGCCUGGACAGUUCCUGAGUGUUGCUUUUAGGGGUAGGGGAGAAGAAAACUACUGUAUCACUUGGAGCUCAAGAAGGUUCUGGGACUUCUGUGUAAUUCUACUCCCAGCCCAUAGGAGCAAGUUAGGAGCUUGCCCGACUUACUCCCCAGUCCCACAGAUUGUAUGUCCCCUGCCUCAAAGCUGCUGCUUUGCUGCCUGGGGGGGAACCACCAUAUUUCUGACCACAGCCUUUUCCUUAAAUAUGCCUCUUAAGUAGAAGAAUUGAAGCUAGAGAUGGGUUAGGAGAGCACCUACUGUUUCUGCAAAGGACCCAGAUUCAGUUCCCAGCACACAGGGUGCCUCACAACCAUCUGUAACUCCGGUUCUGGCGCCCUCUUCUGACCUCUGCUGGUACCAGGCAUGCAAGUGGUACACAGAUGUACAUGCAAGCAAAAACACUCGUGUACAGAAAGUAAAACAAAUAAACCAAAAAGAAAAUUUUCUACUUCCCCCCCCAAGACAGU